Molecule: small nuclear RNA, 104 nt
Filed under: Dasypus novemcinctus (nine-banded armadillo)
Lineage: Eukaryota; Metazoa; Chordata; Mammalia; Cingulata; Dasypodidae
Source: RNAcentral
GUGCUCACUUUGGCAGCACAUAUACUAAAAUUGGAAUGAUACAGAGAUCAGCAUGGUCCCUGUGCAAGUACAACAUGCAAAUUUGUGAAGUUUCGUGAAGUGUU